AAGGGCACGCACGCCCGGGGACUCGUUGGCGGCGUGGAGGGGCGCCGGUGGCCACGUUGGUGUCAACCUCCUUCGUGAAGCUCACACCUCCCCCGCCCCGGGAGGGGUUUGCCCGCCACUGUCGCUGAAUGAUUGCAUCAUCGAAAGCAGAAAACCACUUUUGCAUCCUUCGGUCUCUGGCGUGCCUGCCAUGACGUAAUAGCUCUGCGGAGGUGGAAGUUGGGGAGCUUUGAGGACCUCAUGGAUCCCAGGGGGACCAAGAGAGGAGCUGAGAAGACAGAGGUAGCUGAGCCUCGGAACAAACUACCUCGUCCAGCACCUUCUCUGCCCACAGACCCUGCCCUCUACUCUGGGCCCUUUCCUUUCUACCGGCGCCCUUCGGAACUGGGCUGCUUCUCCCUGGAUGCUCAACGCCAGUACCAUGGAGAUGCCCGAGCCCUGCGCUACUAUAGCCCACCCCCCACUAACGGUCCAGGCCCCAACUUCGACCUCAGAGACGGAUACCCGGAUCGAUACCAGCCCCGGGACGAGGAGGUCCAAGAAAGGCUGGACCACCUGCUGUGCUGGCUCCUGGAACACCGAGGCCGGUUGGAGGGGUGAGCAAAGCGUGGUAGGCAGUAUAUCUGGAGACCCGUACCUACCCUCUAAAAUUAGGAGAGCCAAAGCCGGGGUGAGAAUCAGUCCUUAGAAGAAACAAGACUAUUCUUCGAGGGGAGCAUCUCACUAAUGCUUGUGUCAGACCUUCAGCCUGUAACUCCUGCCUCUCAGGGGUCCAGGCUGGCUGGCAGAGGCCAUAGUGACGUGGCGGGGGCACCUGACAAAACUGCUGACGACACCGUAUGAGCGGCAGGAGGGCUGGCAGCUGGCAGCCUCCCGGUUCCAGGGAACACUAUACCUGAGUGAAGUGGAGACACCGAACGCUCGGGCCCAGAGGCUUGCUCGGCCACCGCUCCUCCGGGAGCUUAUGUACAUGGGAUACAAAUUUGAGCAGUACAUGUGUGCAGGUGAGUUGCCCCUGCUUCAUAGCCCCCCUCCCCUUCCCAGAGAUUGAGAGCCCCCCACGCCUGCUGCUGCUUCUCUCCUUGUGCAGACAAACCUGGAAGCUCCCCAGACCCCUCUGGGGAGGUUAACACCAACGUGGCCUUCUGCUCUGUGCUACGCAGCCGCCUGGGAAGCCACCCUCUGCUCUUCUCAGGGGAGGUAGACUGCACAGACCCCCAGGCCCCAUCCACACAGCCCCCGACCUGCUAUGUGGAGCUCAAGACCUCCAAGGAGAUGCACAGCCCUGGCCAAUGGAGGAGUUUCUACAGGUUCAGGAUCGGGGUGGGCAGGGCGAGAGCUUAGGCUUGAAGGCUGGGAAAGGGACUUGGGGAGGAGGGUGAAGGCAGAAUAGAGGGUGGACGAGGGGUCCCACUGAUCCCUUGCUUUUCCUGACAGACACAAGCUCCUGAAAUGGUGGGCUCAGUCAUUCCUC
RNAcentral lists this small RNA (1474 nucleotides) under Pan troglodytes (chimpanzee). RNAcentral's name for it is "retained intron". The record is from RNAcentral. Lineage: Eukaryota; Metazoa; Chordata; Mammalia; Primates; Hominidae.